CUAUUUAUGGGAACUUUUCUCUCUUAUCA
Molecule: transfer RNA, 29 nt
Filed under: Fruhstorferiola huayinensis
Lineage: Eukaryota; Metazoa; Arthropoda; Insecta; Orthoptera; Acrididae
Description: partial tRNA-Tyr
Source: RNAcentral